Molecule: long non-coding RNA, 426 nt
Organism: Parus major (Great Tit)
Lineage: Eukaryota; Metazoa; Chordata; Aves; Passeriformes; Paridae
Exons: 3
Source: RefSeq, a predicted model, not a curated record
CUGAGUUUGUCUGAAGCUGGCUUAAAAAACAGGUGGAGCUUCAAGAAAUCUACCUUCCUGAAUACCUUCUCUAAUAAAGAAAAAGUAAAACCUCCACUGAAUUUUGUACUGCUACCAUACCAUAGCACCAACUAUGCCAACUAGCACCGACAGAUUUACUGGUGGUAGCAUGUAAGAGACCUACCUUCCUGGAGAUGACUGCAGUUCUGAGAUGAUCCUGUUCCCCUGACCUCCCUCUUAGCCUCUGCAGAAGGUCCCUAGUGAGGUGGUGGCUGAGGUGUGGAUGCUCAGAGCUGCUGCAGACCCACAGCUGUGCCCUCUUUCCCUCUCUGGGUGAGGCAGAGCUGCUCCUAGGGAGGAAAAGUGGCAGCUCAAAUGUGAGGUACCAAAGGCUGGGGGACCUCAGGGGACCUCCUGAACCACCUG